UGCACUGCACUGCACUGGAACUUUUAAAACUACGAGUCUUGCCCCAGCACCUGUACCUCCUGCCGUUUCCUCUUCCUACCUGGACAGCCUGAAGGACAUCCUCCUGCACCACCCUCUACGUCAGCCCUCUGCUGUGCACUCCCUCCAUCUCCUCGUUGGCCCCCUCUGAUCUUCGUUCAUGACCUUUCACCACCAAUGCCUGAGCGCCCCCCGCUGACUGAAGGCUGUCUCUCCCGAGUUCCUGGUCCUGCCUGAGCCAAAUAAACACUUUAAAUACUUAC
This is a long non-coding RNA of Oryzias melastigma (Indian medaka), 281 nucleotides long. RefSeq lists it as uncharacterized. The transcript is spliced from 2 exons. Lineage: Eukaryota; Metazoa; Chordata; Actinopteri; Beloniformes; Adrianichthyidae. The record is from RefSeq and is a predicted model, not a curated record.